This 127-nucleotide small RNA is filed under the name Marmota monax (woodchuck). The record is from RNAcentral. Lineage: Eukaryota; Metazoa; Chordata; Mammalia; Rodentia; Sciuridae.
GCCAGGUGUGGUGGCGCACACCUGUAAUCCCAGCAACUCAGGAGGCUGAAGCAAAAGGAUUAUGGGUUUGAGGCCAGCCUUAGCAACUUAGUGAGGCCUUAAGCAACUUAGCAAGAUCUUGUCUCAA